Molecule: ribosomal RNA, 305 nt
Filed under: uncultured bacterium
Lineage: Bacteria
Description: bacterial SSU rRNA
Rfam family: Bacterial small subunit ribosomal RNA
Source: RNAcentral
CCUACGGGAGGCAGCAGUGGGGAAUAUUGCACAAUGGGGGAAACCCUGAUGCAGCGACGCCGCGUGAGCGAAGAAGUAUUUCGGUAUGUAAAGCUCUAUCAGCAGGGAAGAAAAAAAUGACGGUACCUGAGUAAGAAGCACCGGCUAAAUACGUGCCAGCAGCCGCGGUAAUACGUAUGGUGCAAGCGUUAUCCGGAUUUACUGGGUGUAAAGGGAGCGUAGGCGGCGCGUUAAGUCUGAUGUGAAAACCCGAGGCUCAACCACGGGAGUGCAUUGGAAACUGGCGGGCUGGAGUGCCGGAGAGG